AGCUUUUCGAAUUCGUGCAGAAAUUUCGUCAGACACCAACCCAUUAGGGCUGAUCAGACUUUCAGUACAAGUGAAGUU
Molecule: microRNA precursor, 78 nt
Filed under: Schistosoma bovis
Lineage: Eukaryota; Metazoa; Platyhelminthes; Trematoda; Strigeidida; Schistosomatidae
Also listed under: 1 other name
Description: mir-3492 microRNA precursor family
Rfam family: mir-3492 microRNA precursor family
Source: Rfam by way of RNAcentral